CCCUUAGAUGUCCUGGGCCGCACGCGCGUUACACUGAUGCACUCAACGAGCAUAUAACCUUGGCCGAGAGGCCUGGGUAAUCUUGUUAACAUGCAUCGUGAUAGGGAUAGAUUAUUGCAAUUAUUAAUCUUGAACGAGGAAUUCCUAGUAAUCGCAGAUCAUCAAUCUGCAAUGAUUACGUCCCUGCCCUUUGUACACACCGCCCGUCGCACCUACCGAUUGAAUGGUCCGGUGAGGACUCGGGAUUGUGGUUUGGCUCCUUCAUUGGGGCCUGACUGUGAGAACUUGUCCAAACCUUNUNAUUUAGNGGAAGGUGAANUCGUANCA
This 327-nucleotide ribosomal RNA is filed under the name uncultured eukaryote. RNAcentral describes it as "partial 18S ribosomal RNA". It matches the Rfam family "Eukaryotic small subunit ribosomal RNA", at positions 1470 to 1796 of the family's 1831-position model. The record is from RNAcentral.